CCUACGGGAGGCAGCAGUGGGGAAUAUUGGACAAUGGGCGCAAGCCUGAUCCAGCCAUACCGCGUGUGUGAAGAAGGCCUUUUGGUUGUAAAGCACUUUAAGCGAGGAGGAGGCUCUUGAGGAUAAUACCCUUGAUGAGUGGACGUUACUCGCAGAAUAAGCACCGGCUAACUCUGUGCCAGCAGCCGCGGUAAUACAGAGGGUGCGAGCGUUAAUCGGAAUUACUGGGCGUAAAGCGCGCGUAGGCGGCUUGUUAAGUCGGAUGUGAAAUCCCCGGGCUCAACCUGGGCACUGCAUUCGAUACUGGCAAGCUAGAGUAUGGGAGAGGAAGGUAGAAUUCCAGGUGUAGCGGUGAAAUGCGUAGAGAUCUGGAGGAAUACCGAUGGCGAAGGCAGCCUUCUGGCCUAAUACUGACGCUGAGGUGCGAAAGCAUGGGGAGCAAACAGGAUUAGAUACCCUGGUAGUCCAUGCCGUAAACGNUGUCAACUGCCGUUGGGGACCUUGAGUUCUUUAGUGGCGCNGCACGCGAGUAGUUAGUACCGCCGNGGGUAGGUACGGUCGCGAGAACGUAAACGUUAAAGUAAGUUAGUUAGCGNGAGGAGNGCGACGGACGACGACGAGGGAGGAGG
This 629-nucleotide ribosomal RNA is filed under the name uncultured bacterium. RNAcentral's name for it is "bacterial SSU rRNA". The stretch from base 1 to 544 matches the Rfam family "Bacterial small subunit ribosomal RNA", at positions 338 to 873 of the family's 1533-position model. The record is from RNAcentral.